UUCCUUAUUCGAUAGCUGGGUUUCCUUAAUCGCAUUCUGAGGGGUUUCGUUUUCCCACCACUUGCAUGCCACCUGCAUGUUACACAAUUCCUUCUAUGUCAUCAUAAUUUUUCCCAAGUUGCAACUUUGCUUUCUUUAAUUGGGAACAGAGGUGGACGGAAACCCUCGGACUCAUAAACAUGACAGGUUAAUGUGUUGCUUAUCACUUGAAAGUGCUAUUGAGAUGUCGUUACUAUUCAAUUCGUGAUUUACAUACUAUCUUACAACAUUCUUGGUUUAGGACACCAGGCCCACUAUGACAGAUUUAUUUUCUUGUUUUUCACAACUUGAGUCGUUAAGACAUUCUAAUAUAAUUAACAAACUUGGUUUUAAACAUUCCAAGCGGCCAAUUAAUUGAAGGAGACCUGAAGAGGUUUUCUCCAAUUUUUAGUAUUAACAAAGAAUGCCAGUUUUUAAUAUCUUUCAAGUGUACAAUACUCGAUGGAGACCUGAAGAGGUUCCUCCAAUACACCUUGUGCUUAUUAUUAACAAUAACGGUGGUCUGUGGAGUCCCCACAGUUUAAUCAGUUUAAAGAAACUCGAAAUGUGGACAUCAAGAAAUCUCCAAGUUGACUAUCUACAUCUGAAAGAAAUGUGGAGUGUCUGAGACAGUUGUGCUUGUGUAACUCAAAAAAGCCUUAUCAUCACAGCAUAAACUUUGGCAUCCUAAGAAAACCAUUUAGAAUAUGCUUCGAAAAUAUUUGAGAUUUCUUUCCUACAAAAUCCAGUUCAGCAAUGAAAUCAAGACCAUCACAAUUCUGCAAUUGUGCAGUUGGCACAAUAAUUUAUGUGAAAAGUUGCUUCAUCACUAAACACAAC
RNAcentral lists this long non-coding RNA (858 nucleotides) under Androctonus crassicauda. Lineage: Eukaryota; Metazoa; Arthropoda; Arachnida; Scorpiones; Buthidae. The record is from RNAcentral.